UUUGAACUUAUUUUUUAAGAUGCAAAUGAUUCAUAUUAUGGAAAGAGAAACCGACAUUGUUUUGGUGAAGAAAAAAAAGUAUGGUAAGAGAAACGAAGAUAGAGAGAGAGAAGACACCACAUCCACCACUGUAGUUCUUCUCCAGCUUCGGCUCGCUCUCCUUCCUUCCCGACCCCACCCCACCCCACUCCUCUUCUCUCCUUCUUCUCUCUUUUUCUGCUGCUACGCCGGAGUUCUGUUACCCCUUGUAGUAGCGAUAAGACCAUUCCCCACCAUCCGAAUUUAUAUGCUAGUGUGCUCUAAAAGUUGUAAGUUAUAUUAUUUGUUUGUUAUAAGUUGGGUCAUCAUACAAGAACAAAAAGGUUAUCAUCCAAUUCCAAUUUGUACUAUUGCUCUGUUUUUUGUUGAUGUGCAGAGCAUUAUGUGUUGGAGAAUUUUCAAAAUAGGUUUUCAAAAAUUAUUGUUUAGUUUUUGGGUGUUUUUAAAACCUUCAUUGUUUUUCUUUAGAAAGCUUGAAAUAAGCUUGGGGACUUUGUCCCACAUCAGAAAGAGAAGAAACAUGGAGCACUUAAUAAAGUGCUACAUGAAAUAUUCUUUUGAAUAUGAAAUUAUAGGAUGGAUACUAGUGUACAUGCACUCGCACCGCAAAUUCGCAUAUGCACAUACACAUGCACACGCGCGCGUGGCGUGGGCAGUGGACUGUGUAAUGUUUGAUGGUGCACGGACGCAUCGGUGCCAUUAGGGCGCUUUCCUAUGUGCAUCGGACAGGUUGGAGCGAUGACGUGGAUCCGAUGUGGCAUGGGUGACGUGGAAUAUAGUCAGCUCCGUGUGGCAGUGAUGUGGAGUUCGUUGGCGAUGAACCAACCAACCGAUGGAACGGUUGCGUGCCCGAUCUAGAACAGUUUGAUCAUAGCUGCUGAUUGGAGAUGUGCGCAAUUGUACGUAUGAGAUGACACUUGGUCGUGAUUAGGUAUGAUCAGUCAAGGCAUCUAUUCGUUGUGAGAAUGAUUUACACCAUAGAUCGUCAAUCAAACAGUCAGAUCUGAUCGGAUGCGAUCAAGGGACAUGACUAUUCGAUUAGAUGCAUCAAGGCCUAUAAACAGACUAUGAAAACAGCCAUUUCAAUUCAUCCAAAUUUCAGAAAGCAUUCCUGUAAUUCUCUCUCUCUCUCUCUCCCUCUCGCUUUAGAAUUUUCGAUCAAGAGUUUCUUAAUGCUUUGUUUUUGGAAUAUAUGUUUAGUUGAUUGAUGAAGGAACCCUCUAGCUAUCAGUUUUGUGAAAGAUUGCCUCACAAACUAUUAGUUUACUGAUGUUGGACAAUAUUGCAGACAUUUAAUAAGAUUCAGAGACUGUGUAGCAAAACUCAUGGAAAAGUUGUUGGCGAUUUGAUGACACCUGCUCCACUUGUUGUUUGUGAAACCACCAAUCUUGAAGAUGCUGUCAGGUUUUGCAAGCUUGUGUCGAUUUGAAGCUUGGGAGCUCUCUACUUGAUUUUGAAUGCCAUUUCGACGAAGCCCUUGAGAAGAAGAUGCGAUGAGUUGAGUUGUUUUGUUAUGUAGGUAGAUAUAACUCUAAUUAUAAUCUGUUCGUUGAAUAGUUGAAUGCUACAAAUAAUGCUUAUGUCACUAGCCUUAUAAAUUGGAAAUGACACUUUUGAAAACUCUGUCAGUUUAUGAUAUACAAUCAAGAUAUUACAUACUAAUAAAUCAGAGCAUGGUAUUUUUUUGUUAUU
Molecule: non-coding RNA, 1731 nt
Organism: Camellia sinensis
Lineage: Eukaryota; Viridiplantae; Streptophyta; Magnoliopsida; Ericales; Theaceae
Source: RefSeq, a predicted model, not a curated record